This 465-nucleotide ribosomal RNA is filed under the name uncultured bacterium. Its description in RNAcentral is "bacterial SSU rRNA". It matches the Rfam family "Bacterial small subunit ribosomal RNA", at positions 338 to 795 of the family's 1533-position model. The record is from RNAcentral.
CCUACGGGGGGCUGCAGUGGGGAAUCCUCCGCAAUGGGCGCAAGCCUGACGGAGCAAUGCCGCGUGAGUGAAGAAGGCCUUCGGGUUGUAAAACUCUGUCCUAAGGGAAGAAUGUUACCUAUGAGAAUAUUGUAGGUAAAUGACGGUACCUUAGGAGGAAGCCCCGGCUAACUACGUGCCAGCAGCCGCGGUAAUACGUAGGGGGCGAGCGUUGUCCGGAAUCACUGGGCGUAAAGGGUGCGUAGGCGGCCAAUUAAGCCAGGGGUGAAAGGCUACGGCUCAACCGUAGUAAGCCCUUGGAACUGAAUGGCUUGAGUGCGGGAGAGGAGAGUGGAAUUCCUAGUGUAGCGGUGAAAUGCGUAGAUAUUAGGAGGAACACCAGUGGCGAAGGCGACUCUCUGGACUGUAACUGACGCUGAGGCACGAAAGCGUGGGGAGCAAACAGGAUUAGAUACCCCUGUAGUC